RNAcentral lists this ribosomal RNA (1453 nucleotides) under Ailurus styani. RNAcentral's name for it is "bacterial SSU rRNA". It matches the Rfam family "Bacterial small subunit ribosomal RNA". Lineage: Eukaryota; Metazoa; Chordata; Mammalia; Carnivora; Ailuridae. The record is from RNAcentral.
UAAGUUAGAUCCUAGCUUAGAAUGAACGCUUAAGACGUACUUUAACACAUGCUAAUUAAACUUAAAAUAACUUAUAUUAUUUAAGUUAGUGUAGAGGUGAGUAAUAAAUAAAAUUAAAAUUAUAAGUUUAGAAUAAUUAUAUAUAAUAUAUAUUUAAUAUAUUAUAUAUAUUAAUUCUUUAUAGGUACUUUAUAUGUAUAAUUAAAAAUUUUACUUAUAAAUUAAUUUUAUUUUUGAUUAGCUAUUUAAUAUUUAAAAUAAAUAUUAAGGCGAAUAUCAAUAACUGGCCUGAGAGGGUAUACAGUCACAUCAGAAUUGAAAUAAAAUCUGAAUUUUUAAAUAAAGAGCAGCAGUGGGGAAUAUUCUACAAUUAGUGAAAACUAGAUAGAGUGACGUCGUGUGAAAAGAAGACAUAAAAUGUAAAUUUCUGUAAAUAAUUCUAAAAUAAGUGAUUGAAUUAUAAGAAAAUAUCGGCUAACUCUGUGCCAGCAGCCGCGGUAAUACAGAGGAUAUAAGCGUUAUUCACAAUUAUUGGGCAUAAAGCAUCUUUAGAUGGUUUAUUAUAUUAAAUUAUAAAUUUAAAAAUAAUAUUUUUAAACAUUAUAUUUAAUAUUAAUAAACUUUGAGAAUAAAAUAAGUUUAAGGAAUUUUUUGAGUAAUGGUGAAAUAUAAUUUUAUAUACAUUAAAGAAGGCCAUAAAUGAAAGUAUUAAACUAAAUUAUAUCUGACAUUGAUAGAUGAAAGCUAGAGUAGCAAAUGGGAUUAGAUACCCCAGUAGUUUUAGCUGUAAAUUAUGAAUAUUAAAAUUUAGAAAAUAAUUUUUAAAUUUAAAGUUAAUACAUUAAAUAUUCCGCCUGAAUAGUACAUUCGCAAGAAUUAAAUUCAAAGGAACUGACGGGAACUUAUACAAGUGAUGAGCUAUGUUAUUUAAUUUGAUGCAGCCCAAAAAAUCUUACCAAUAUUUGACAUAAUUAAAUAAUUUUUAUUAUAUAAAAAUUUAAUUAGUUUUAUAGGUGGUGCAUGGUUGUCGUCAGCUAGUGCUGUGAAGUAUAUUAAAUAUUUUAAAACUAGCAAAACCCUUAUAUUUAUAUAUAUAUAAUAAAAUAAGGAUGAUGUCAAAUCUUCAUGCCCCUUAUAUAUUGGGCUAUUAGCGUGGCGCAAUGAUAAAAACAAAUGUAAAAUAUAUUUAUUAAAUUUUAUAAAAAAUUUAUAUAUAUAUUUAAUUAAAUUUUAUCUCAGUACGAUAUAUAAAUUGAAAUUUAUUUAUAUUUAGUAGUAACCACUAGUAAUCGUUAGUCAUAUAUAUAACGGUGAAUAAGUAAUUAAGUUUUGUACACACCGCCCGUCGCAUCCUGAAAAUGAAUUGAAAAUAAGUUAUUUUAUAAAUAAUCAAUUGUUAAUUAGUGAUUAGGAUGAAGUCGUAACAAGGUAGCCGUACUGGAAAGUGCGGCUA